RNAcentral lists this ribosomal RNA (301 nucleotides) under uncultured bacterium. RNAcentral's name for it is "partial 16S ribosomal RNA". It matches the Rfam family "Bacterial small subunit ribosomal RNA", at positions 509 to 807 of the family's 1533-position model. The record is from RNAcentral.
CAGUAGCCGCGGUAAUACGGAGGGUGCAAGCGUUAAUCGGAAUUACUGGGCGUAAAGCGCACGCAGGCGGUUUGUUAAGUCAGAUGUGAAAUCCCCGGGCUCAACCUGGGAACUGCAUUUGAAACUGGCAAGCUAGAGUCUCGUAGAGGGGGGUAGAAUUCCAGGUGUAGCGGUGAAAUGCGUAGAGAUCUGGAGGAAUACCGGUGGCGAAGGCGGCCCCCUGGACGAAGACUGACGCUCAGGUGCGAAAGCGUGGGGAGCAAACAGGAUUAGAUACCCCUGUAGUCCCUGUCUCUUAUAC